This is a long non-coding RNA of Balaenoptera musculus (blue whale), 950 nucleotides long. RefSeq lists it as uncharacterized. The record is from RefSeq and is a predicted model, not a curated record. The transcript is spliced from 3 exons. Lineage: Eukaryota; Metazoa; Chordata; Mammalia; Artiodactyla; Balaenopteridae.
GCAGGCGGCCCUGCGCUUGGACCCCUGGCGUCGGAGGUGUCAGUGGGAAGCGCCCUGCGGGCUUUGGGCAGUCCCUGGGCUCCGGAGCGAGGCCGUGUGCCUGUGGAUGAUCCUCACCUGUAGGGAGACGCUUCCCGACUCCCGAGCUCGGGGAGCAGCCGGGCCUCGCAGCCCUGCACCGGGGACGCCAGGCUCCGGGGGAGGCUGGGCGCUUUGUGGCCUUGCUGGGAGCCUGCAUCCCUACCCCGUCCUCCGUGGGGGGCCAUCAGCACCCGCCGUGCUUGCGGCUCUGUUUGCCGAUCCAGGCGGUCGUGACAGCAUCGGUCACUGGAUGGCUUCCCACUUCCUGCCAGACACUGCACGCACACGGCUCAUGGCACCUGCUGCCCGGCGCCCUUGGCUGCACAGGAAACAGGCCCAAGGGCACAGGGACUUCCCUGUGUGGCUGGGCCUGUCUCUCUGAGAUGAUGAAGUCAGUCUGUCUGCGAGAUCAGUGCCUCUGGCGGGUCCAUGAUGACAGGAUGGUCAGGAUCAUGGGGCCGAGGCACACAAGUGACCAGUCACAAAGGGCACGACUCCAGAGUCCCACCUGUGCCCUGUAAUGCUGGCCAGGCCUCGGAGUCACCCGAGCUGUGGCUUCUCCUCUGUCAAAGGGAUCUUCCUAGCACUCGUGUCGACAAGCUGCCCCAUGUUUAGCUGCUGUUUUCUGACGCCACUGGACUCAAGGACUGGCAUCGCCUGGCACCCACUGCAUGUGCUCCAAACUCCCAGAGAGAAGCUCACGCUCCAAAGAAGACAUGCAGAUGCCAACAGGUACAAGAAAGGCACCCAACACUGCUAAUCAUCAGGGCAAUGCACAUCAAAGCCACAAAGAGGUAUCACCUCACAGCUGUCAGAGUGGCUAUCACCAAAAAGACAAGAAAUAAGAAGUGCUGGAGAGGGUGUGGAAA